CAGUAGCCACGGUAAUACGUAGGUCCCGAGCGUUGUCCGGAUUUAUUGGGCGUAAAGCGAGCGCAGGCGGUUUGAUAAGUCUGAAGUUAAAGGCUGUGGCUCAACCAUAGUUCGCUUUGGAAACUGUCAAACUUGAGUGCAGAAGGGGAGAGUGGAAUUCCAUGUGUAGCGGUGAAAUGCGUAGAUAUAUGGAGGAACACCGGUGGCGAAAGCGGCUCUCUGGUCUGUAACUGACGCUGAGGCUCGAAAGCGUGGGGAGCGAACAGGAUUAGAUACCCCAGUAGUCCCUGUCUCUUAUACA
RNAcentral lists this ribosomal RNA (301 nucleotides) under uncultured bacterium. Its description in RNAcentral is "partial 16S ribosomal RNA". It matches the Rfam family "Bacterial small subunit ribosomal RNA", at positions 509 to 808 of the family's 1533-position model. The record is from RNAcentral.